Molecule: unclassified non-coding RNA, 240 nt
Filed under: soil metagenome
Description: partial contains 5.8S ribosomal RNA, internal transcribed spacer 2, and large subunit ribosomal RNA
Source: RNAcentral
AACGCACGAGACCUGCGGACCUGCGGAGGGAUCAUUAAUGAGAAACUGCCCCUCACGGGUAGAUCUCCCACCCUUUGUAAACUUACCUUUGUUGCUUUGGCAGGCCCGUCUCCGGACCGCCGGCUUCGGCUGGCCAGUGCCUGCCAGAGGAUUCUAAAACUCUGUCUGUCAGUGUUGUCUGAGUCUAUAUACAAUCGUUAAAACUUUCAACAAUGGAUCUCUAGAUCGGAAGAGCACACG